RNAcentral lists this ribosomal RNA (200 nucleotides) under uncultured bacterium. RNAcentral's name for it is "partial 16S ribosomal RNA". It matches the Rfam family "Bacterial small subunit ribosomal RNA", at positions 28 to 226 of the family's 1533-position model. The record is from RNAcentral.
GACGAACGCUGGCGGCGUGCUUAACACAUGCAAGUCGAGCGGUAAGGCCCUUUCGGGGGUACGACGAGCGGCGAACGGGUGAGUAACACGUGGGUGACCUGCCCUCAGCUCUGGGAGUAAGCCGUGGGAAACCGGGUCUAAUACUGGAUAUGACUCCAUGACGCAUGUUGUGGGGUGGAAAGCCUUGUGCGGCUGAGGAU